CCUACGGGAGGCUGCAGUAGGGAAUAUUGCUCCAUGGGGGAAACCCUGAAGCAGCAACGCCGCGUGGAGGAUGAAGGUUUUCGGAUUGUAAACUCCUUUUGUUAGAGAAGAUAAUGACGGUAUCUAACGAAUAAGCACCGGCUAACUCCGUGCCAGCAGCCGCGGUACUACGGAGGGUGCAAGCGUUACUCGGAAUCACUGGGCGUAAAGAGCGCGUAGGCGGGAUAGCAAGUCAGAUGUGAAAUCGUAUGGCUUAACCAUAGAACUGCAUUUGAAACUGUUAUUCUAGAGUAUGGGAGAGGUAGGUGGAAUUCUUGGUGUAGGGGUAAGAUCCGUAGAGAUCAAGAGGAAUACUCAUUGCGAAGGCGACCUGCUAGAACAUAACUGACGCUGAUGCGCGAAAGCGUGGGGAGCAAACAGGAUUAGAUACCCCUGUAGUC
This 440-nucleotide ribosomal RNA is filed under the name uncultured bacterium. Its description in RNAcentral is "partial 16S ribosomal RNA". It matches the Rfam family "Bacterial small subunit ribosomal RNA", at positions 338 to 795 of the family's 1533-position model. The record is from RNAcentral.